This 119-nucleotide ribosomal RNA is filed under the name Triticum aestivum (bread wheat). RNAcentral also lists the same sequence under 1 other name. Lineage: Eukaryota; Viridiplantae; Streptophyta; Magnoliopsida; Poales; Poaceae. The record is from RNAcentral.
GGAUGCGAUCAUACCAGCACUAAAGCACCGGAUCCCAUCAGAACUCUGAAGUUAAGCGUGCUUGGGCAAGAGUAGUACUAGGAUGGGUGACCUCCUGGGAAGUCCUCGUGUUGCAUUAC